This 1710-nucleotide long non-coding RNA is filed under the name Capsicum annuum. RNAcentral's name for it is "long non-coding RNA (CANN_LNC014078)". Lineage: Eukaryota; Viridiplantae; Streptophyta; Magnoliopsida; Solanales; Solanaceae. The record is from RNAcentral.
CCAAACACUUAGUCAAUAUUAGAUGAUAUUAUUAUAAAAUUCAACAUAAUAACAAAUAUCCAGGACUAAUUAUUAUUAAUGCGGAAAUUCAAACAAACUGCUUACUAAAAUUUCCAAGACCCGAAAGUUAUCGUACAAGAACUAAUAACAAAGAUAGUAGCUAAAGUGAUAUCCAAAAAUAAAGUAAAUAAAGAAUGUUUCAUUGCCCGAAAAAUGGACAAGAACAAAUAAGAUGACCCAUGACAGCCUGAAGACGGAGUGCUCACCCUUGGAUCAAGAUCUGCCAUCAAACUCUAGAGGUGAGGUCAUGUCUAAGCCUAGAACACUUUCUGCACUCAACAAAAGAAGAGUACAGCGUAGUAUCAGUACAAACCACUAUAUACUGGUAGGUAUCAUAGGUCAACUCAAUUUAAUAAUAUGUACACAACAUAAAUCAAAUAACAAAUAGACAGACAUUGUCACACAAUAAAUAUUCAAUGAAUCAACUAUACAGCAACAACAGGUCAAACAGUGCUCACAAACAAACCACAUAACCAUCAAGAGUAUCAACCAUACUGUAAAUAUCCACAGAAACAACACAAAUAUGUACACACAUGCUAUAGGACUUAUUUUUACCCAAAUAAUCAUGACCUGCAGGGAACAAUUUAUGUUCAUGUACCGUACCAGUGUGGUACCCGAUUCAACAUAAAUAUAAACGUACUGGCGUGGUACCCGAUCCAACAUAAAUAUAAACAUACCGGCGUGGUACCCGAUUCAACAUGAAUAUAAACGUACCGACGUGGUACCCGAUCCAACAUAAAUAUAACCAAGUACUAUCAAUAUCAAUUUACACAACCUCACAGCAUGCCACACAAUGUACCAAGUUUACAAGUACACUUAAAGUCAUAAGACAAUUUCAUCAAGUCAAUUUUCAAUAAACAUUUAUACACGAAUCAACAAUCCAAACAUCAACAAUUUCAAGCAUGUCCGAAUACCAAUCCACAAGUAUCCAAUUUAGGAGCAUACACACAAUUAAGUCGAGUCUAAACUCUAAUUAAACUGUAACCUACCUCAACCGAAGAAACCGAAAACAAACUAUUUUGCAAGGGUCUUUCCCCUCCGUAAGGUCUCUGAAUGAUCAAAAUAUGUUCAAGUAUAUAAUCCCCAUAAGAAUACGAAUCAAGUGCAUAAAUUUAUUCAUUAUAGCUCAAUCACUAACAAUUUUCUUAUUACCUUAUCAUUAUUCUAAAUCGAUAUGAUCGAUAAUCUAUGAAAAAUAGUAAGAAUAAUACAUUUUAAUACCUAGAAAAUAUAAUCCAUUCUACGAACGUCAUUAUUAAGUAAUAAUUUGUUCAAAUAAUCUGCCUAACCUAUAAUCUUCCUGUACGUUCAAGGUUAUAAAACAAAUCAUUACAAAAAUCAUCCUAAGAUAGGAUUUUCUCACCCAACACCACCUAUACUACUGCCACCAACUUGCCAUGUUAAUGUCCUUAUUACCUCAUAAUUAUCCACUAAUUCCCUAAAUUCCAAAUAAUUUGCAGAUCAUACACACCACCCAUAAUAAAUACACUUCACUUCAUAUUGUCAGAAGGCAGUUAUUAGGAGUAUGGAACAAUUAAAACUAAGUAAAUUAUACUCAAUUUUUACCUAAAGCAGUCGGCGCUCCUCCACUGCCAUUUUCGUGUCCCUCCCUUUGCAACUACUGAUUCUAUUAUUAACAUAUAUGGUAAG